Molecule: transfer RNA, 71 nt
Filed under: Ictidomys tridecemlineatus (thirteen-lined ground squirrel)
Lineage: Eukaryota; Metazoa; Chordata; Mammalia; Rodentia; Sciuridae
Description: Spermophilus tridecemlineatus (thirteen-lined ground squirrel) tRNA
Rfam family: tRNA
About the family: Transfer RNA (tRNA) molecules are approximately 80 nucleotides in length. Their secondary structure includes four short double-helical elements and three loops (D, anti-codon, and T loops). Further hydrogen bonds mediate the characteristic L-shaped molecular structure. tRNAs have two regions of fundamental functional importance: the anti-codon, which is responsible for specific mRNA codon recognition, and the 3' end, to which the tRNAs corresponding amino acid is attached (by aminoacyl-tRNA synthetases). tRNAs cope with the degeneracy of the genetic code in two manners: having more than one tRNA (with a specific anti-codon) for a particular amino acid; and 'wobble' base-pairing, i.e. permitting non-standard base-pairing at the 3rd anti-codon position.
Source: Rfam by way of RNAcentral
GAUGUUGUGGCUCAGUGGUAGAGUGCUUAUCUCACAUAUGUGAGGCACUGGGUUUGAUCCUCAGCAGCACA